UGAGCUGGCCAGGCGGCCGCGUCGAGACACGUUCUCGCCGAGGAACGUCCGGGCUCCACAGAGCACGGUGGUGGCUAACGGCCACCCGGGGUGACCCGCGGGACAGUGCCACAGAAAACAGACCGCCUGCUGCGUGCGGCAGGUAAGGGUGAAACGGUGGUGUAAGAGACCACCAGCGGUGCAGGUGACUGCGCCGGCUCGGUAAACCCCACCGGGAGCAAGGUCAGACAGCGUGCGCUUGAGGGCUGCUCGCCCGAGCACGCGGGUAGACCGCUAGAGGUGGCUGGCAACAGUCACCCGAGAUGGAUGGUCGCCCGCCGUCGUCAGUUCGCUGGCGGUGGCGACAGAACCCGGCGUACCGGCCAGCUCAUCCU
This 374-nucleotide RNase P RNA is filed under the name Branchiibius sp. NY16-3462-2. RNAcentral describes it as "Bacterial RNase P class A". It matches the Rfam family "Bacterial RNase P class A". Rfam says of the family: Ribonuclease P (RNase P) is a ubiquitous endoribonuclease, found in archaea, bacteria and eukarya as well as chloroplasts and mitochondria. Its best characterised activity is the generation of mature 5'-ends of tRNAs by cleaving the 5'-leader elements of precursor-tRNAs. The record is from Rfam by way of RNAcentral. Lineage: Bacteria; Bacillati; Actinomycetota; Actinomycetes; Micrococcales; Dermacoccaceae.